AUACAAUAGUGGCGCACGGGUGCGUAACACGUAUGCAACCUACCUUAUACUGGGGGAUAGCCUUUGGAAACGGAGAUUAAUACCCCAUAGCACAUUUAGAUGGCAUCAUUUGAAUGUUAAAGAUUUAUCGGUAUAAGCUGGGCAUGCGUCCAAUUAGUUAGUUGGUGAGGUAAUGGCUCACCAAGACUUUGAUUGGUAGGGGAACUGAGAGGUUAAUCCCCCACACUGGCACUGAGAUACGGGCCAGACUCCUACGGGAGGCAGCAGUAGGGAAUAUUGGGCAAUGGAGGCAACUCUGACCCAGCCAUGCCGCGUGCAGGAAGAAGGCGUUAUGCGUUGUAAACUGCUUUUAUAUAGGAAGAAAUAGUCCUUGCGAGGAAAGUUGACGGUACUAUAUGAAUAAGCACCGGCUAACUCCGUGCCAGCAGCCGCGGUAAUACGGAGGGUGCAAGCGUUGUCCGGAUUUAUUGGGUUUAAAGGGUGCGUAGGCGGUUUAUUAAGUCAGUGGUGAAAGACGGUCGCUCAACGAUUGCAGUGCC
Molecule: ribosomal RNA, 539 nt
Filed under: uncultured bacterium
Lineage: Bacteria
Description: bacterial SSU rRNA
Rfam family: Bacterial small subunit ribosomal RNA
Source: RNAcentral